RNAcentral lists this ribosomal RNA (540 nucleotides) under uncultured marine eukaryote. RNAcentral's name for it is "SSU rRNA". It matches the Rfam family "Eukaryotic small subunit ribosomal RNA", at positions 616 to 1157 of the family's 1831-position model. The record is from RNAcentral.
CGGUUAAAAAGCUCGUAGUUGGAUCUCGGCAAGUAGAGGGCGGUAUGCUUCGUAGCAUUACUGCCCUAUUACUUGUAGUUUUGCCAGAGGUUCCUGGGUGCUCUUAAUCGAGUGUCUAGGGAUGCUGGCAGGUUUACUUUGAAAAAAUUAGAGUGCUCAAAGCAGGCUAUUACGCUUGAAUAUUCGUGCAUGGAAUAAUAGAAUAGGAAGUUGUUUCUAUUUUGUUGGUUUUCGGAAAUCGACUUAAUGAUUAAUAGGGACAGUCGGGGGCAUUUGUAUUCAAACGACAGAGGUGAAAUUCUUGGACCGUUUGAAGACAAACUACUGCGAAAGCAUUUGCCAAGAAUGUUUUCAUUAAUCAAGAACGAAAGUUAGAGGUUCGAAGGCGAUUAGAUACCGCCCUAGUUCUAACCAUAAACGAUGCCAGCUAGCGAUCUGAGGACGUUUUUUUUGUAGACUCCUCAGGAAGCUUCCGGGAAACCAAAGCGUGUGGGUUCCGGGGGAAGUAUGGUUGCAAAGCUGAAACUUAAAGGAAUUGAC